UUUUAUUAUAUAAAAUGAAAAAUGUAGAGAAAAAGUAGAUGAAGAAAAAAUAUCAGACAGGCUAGGCUUAUAAACGUCUACAGAAUACUAGUAUUUAAUACUAUUUAUUAUAAGCAUACAAUGUAUUUUCAAGCACAGUAUGAUCAUUAUCAACUACAUCGGCUUCGUCAUCAUCAUCUUCACCAGCCAGUAAGAGCCACACCAUCAUUUCCAUCUACUUAAAAAGUUGUAGUCGUUGUGAAACUGUUUGUUCUUUGUAGUCAAGUUGUUGUUCCUUCAUUUAUGUAUGUGCAUAUGUGCGUCUUUGAUAAAGAAGAAAAAACUGUUGGCAUUGACAAUGGAACGACUGACUUCUACUGUCAUACAUCUACUCCUCUCGGCUACAGGCUCGAUAGUAGUUGAAGAGCUGGAUGAACAAGACUUUCAGAAAAAAUUUUCAAGAAAACUGAACUGGGUACUAGAUGAAUAAGGUUUUUAUUUAUCAAGACGAAGUAGAAUCUAAGGGAAUGCAAUACAUAGUUAAACUUUUCUUUAUUCAUUUGGGUAACAACAAUAUCUCUUGUACGAGGAAUAGUUUCUGUGUGGAGCACAAACGGUUCAUUGUAGAUUGUGGAGGCAUAUUUUUGAUAUAAACCACAUUUUUUAUUAAAAGUUGUAC
Lucilia cuprina (Australian sheep blowfly) is the source of this 658-nucleotide long non-coding RNA. RefSeq lists it as uncharacterized. The record is from RefSeq and is a predicted model, not a curated record. Lineage: Eukaryota; Metazoa; Arthropoda; Insecta; Diptera; Calliphoridae. The transcript is spliced from 2 exons.